RNAcentral lists this ribosomal RNA (253 nucleotides) under uncultured bacterium. RNAcentral describes it as "partial 16S ribosomal RNA". It matches the Rfam family "Bacterial small subunit ribosomal RNA", at positions 524 to 776 of the family's 1533-position model. The record is from RNAcentral.
UACGAGGGGGGCAAGCGUUGUUCGGAAUUAUUGGGCGUAAAGGGUGCGUAGGCGGUGCGGUAAGUCUGUUGUGAAAUCUCCGGGCUCAACUCGGAGUCUGCAUCAGAAACUGCCGUGCUGGAGUGUGGGAGAGGUGAGUGGAAUUCCCGGUGUAGCGGUGAAAUGCGUAGAGAUCGGGAGGAACACCAGUGGCGAAGGCGGCUUCCUGGCCUGCAACUGACGCUGAGACGCGAAAGCGUGGGGAGCGAACCGG